ACUCAAAGGAAUUGACGGGGACCCGCACAAGCAGCGGAGCAUGUGGUUUAAUUCGACGCAACGCGAAGAACCUUACCAGGGCUUGACAUCCCUCUGACCGGAUUAGAGAUAGUCCUUUCUCUUCGGAGACAGAGGAGACAGGUGGUGCAUGGUUGUCGUCAGCUCGUGUCGUGAGAUGUUGGGUUAAGUCCCGCAACGAGCGCAACCCUUGCCUUUAGUUGCCAUCAGGUAAAGCUGGGCACUCUAGAGGGACUGCCGGUGACAAACCGGAGGAAGGUGGGGAUGACGUCAAAUCAUCAUGCCCCUUAUGUCCUGGGCUACACACGUGCUACAAUGGUCGGUACAACGGGAAGCGAGACUGCGAAGUUUAGCCAAUCCCAAUAAGCCGAUCCCAGUUCGGAUUGUAGGCUGCAACUCGCCUACAUGAAGUCGGAGUUGCUAGUAAUCGCGAAUCAGCACGUCGCGGUGAAUGCGUUCCCGGGUCUUGUACACACCGCCCGU
RNAcentral lists this ribosomal RNA (501 nucleotides) under uncultured bacterium. RNAcentral's name for it is "bacterial SSU rRNA". It matches the Rfam family "Bacterial small subunit ribosomal RNA", at positions 899 to 1397 of the family's 1533-position model. The record is from RNAcentral.